GGCAGUUCUUGGGUGAUGCACCCCUGAAUUUGGCUCCCUCCCCUCUGGUUCCCGGUGCAUCACCUGAGAACCACA
Myotis davidii is the source of this 75-nucleotide non-coding RNA. The record is from Rfam. Lineage: Eukaryota; Metazoa; Chordata; Mammalia; Chiroptera; Vespertilionidae.